Molecule: ribosomal RNA, 602 nt
Filed under: Nostoc sp. 'Stereocaulon exutum cyanobiont'
Lineage: Bacteria; Bacillati; Cyanobacteriota; Cyanophyceae; Nostocales; Nostocaceae
Description: bacterial SSU rRNA
Rfam family: Bacterial small subunit ribosomal RNA
Source: RNAcentral
UCUGCCCUUAGGUCGGGGACAACCACUGGAAACGGUGGCUAAUACCGGAUAUACCUGACGGUGAAAGAUUAAUUGCCAGAGGAGGAGCUCGCGUCUGAUUAGCUAGUUGGUGGGGUAAAAGCCUACCAAGGCGACGAUCAGUAGCUGGUCUGAGAGGACGAUCAGCCACACUGGAACUGAGACACGGUCCAGACUCCUACGGGAGGCAGCAGUGGGGAAUUUUCCGCAAUGGGCGAAAGCCUGACGGAGCAAUACCGCGUGAGGGAGGAAGGCUCUUGGGUUGUAAACCUCUUUUCUCAGGGAAGAACAAAUGACGGUACCUGAGGAAUCAGCAUCGGCUAACUCCGUGCCAGCAGCCGCGGUAAUACGGAGGAUGCAAGCGUUAUCCGGAAUGAUUGGGCGUAAAGCGUCCGCAGGUGGCAUUGAAAGUCUGCUGUCAAAGAGUCUGGCUCAACCAGAUAAAGGCAGUGGAAACUACAAAGCUAGAGUACGUUCGGGGCAGAGGGAAUUCCUGGUGUAGCGGUGAAAUGCGUAGAGAUCAGGAAGAACACCGGUGGCGAAAGCGCUCUGCUAGGCCGUAACUGACACUGAGGGACGAAAGC